AUAGGCCUUAUUUGAACAAUUUUUUAUCAGGUUUUUGAUUGUACCAAGUCUACUAAUAAGUAGAAUACAUAGUUUAGUAGUGGAACGAUGGCUUGAAGACGAAAUAAAUCUUUGUUUGUAAUGAGUUAUGUGCAGCUUCGGCCUUGGACCCAAUACAUGGUGGAAACUUUCAUUGUACAAUGUAUUUGGUUCUGCUAUGAAAAGAGCUGAGUCUAUGUACCAUAUAAUAUAAAAGGUUAACUGGUUGCAAGGACCUAGUCCUUAAUUGAGAUCCUUGUCAGAUAUUCCUGGCCAUAUGUUUUCCUU
This 306-nucleotide long non-coding RNA is filed under the name Mytilus galloprovincialis (Mediterranean mussel). The record is from RNAcentral. Lineage: Eukaryota; Metazoa; Mollusca; Bivalvia; Mytilida; Mytilidae.